Molecule: ribosomal RNA, 391 nt
Filed under: uncultured bacterium
Lineage: Bacteria
Description: bacterial SSU rRNA
Rfam family: Bacterial small subunit ribosomal RNA
Source: RNAcentral
ACUCCGUACGGGAGGCAGCAGGUGGGGAAUAUUGCACAAGUAGGGGAAACCCUGAUGCAGCCAUGCCGCGUGUGUGAAGAAGGCCUUCGGUUGUAAGACACUUCUAGUAGGGAGGAAGGUAGUGUAGUUAACACCUGCAUUAUUUGUACGUUACCUACAGAAGAAGCACCGGCUAACUCCGUGCCAGCAGCCGCGGUAAUACGGAGGGGUGCGAGCGUUAAUCGGAAUUACUGGGCGUAAAGCGCAUGCAGGCGGCCUGUUAAGUCAGAUGUGAAAGCCCGGGGGCUUAACCUCGGAAUUGCAUUUGAAACUGGCAGGCUAGAGUCUUGUAGAGGGGGUAGGAAUUUCAGGUGUAGCGGUGAAAUGCGUAGAGAUCUGAAGGAAUACCAGU